GGUUGUGGUCCAGAGGUAGAGCGCUUGCCUACCAUGCAUGAGGCACUGAGUUUAAUUCUCAGCACCA
Molecule: transfer RNA, 67 nt
Filed under: Marmota monax (woodchuck)
Lineage: Eukaryota; Metazoa; Chordata; Mammalia; Rodentia; Sciuridae
Description: tRNA.Gly
Rfam family: tRNA
About the family: Transfer RNA (tRNA) molecules are approximately 80 nucleotides in length. Their secondary structure includes four short double-helical elements and three loops (D, anti-codon, and T loops). Further hydrogen bonds mediate the characteristic L-shaped molecular structure. tRNAs have two regions of fundamental functional importance: the anti-codon, which is responsible for specific mRNA codon recognition, and the 3' end, to which the tRNAs corresponding amino acid is attached (by aminoacyl-tRNA synthetases). tRNAs cope with the degeneracy of the genetic code in two manners: having more than one tRNA (with a specific anti-codon) for a particular amino acid; and 'wobble' base-pairing, i.e. permitting non-standard base-pairing at the 3rd anti-codon position.
Source: RNAcentral